UGCAUCGGCCGGGAAUUGAACCCGGGCCGCCAGCGUGGCAGGCGAGCAUUCUACCACUGAACCACCGAUGC
RNAcentral lists this transfer RNA (71 nucleotides) under Cordylochernes scorpioides. RNAcentral describes it as "tRNA-Gly". The record is from RNAcentral. Lineage: Eukaryota; Metazoa; Arthropoda; Arachnida; Pseudoscorpiones; Chernetidae.